This is a long non-coding RNA of Oreochromis aureus, 414 nucleotides long. RefSeq lists it as uncharacterized. The record is from RefSeq and is a predicted model, not a curated record. NCBI's taxonomy places the organism in Eukaryota, Metazoa, Chordata, Actinopteri, Cichliformes, Cichlidae. The transcript is spliced from 2 exons.
UUCUGGAAGCAGAUUGGGAAAAGGGAAGCGGAAAAGGAGGCCAGUGAUCCAGUCAAGCUCAGAUGAGGAUUGGGACAACGCUGCGGAACAGCCAGAGAACUCAUCACCAUCAGCAAUGGAGAAUAGACAUUCAAGUGAAACUCCCCACCAGAACAUCACUCAUCCAUUUGUUCGGCUACCACCACCCUCAACUCCUUCACAAGCAGUUCCAAGACAACUUGUACAAGCCACCAAUACCAGCAUGUUUGUACAUGUUCUCUCUGGUUUGCAGCAUACUUGAAGACGUAGGAGGUCAAACAACCUGAUCAGCCCCACCUUCAAAACAACUCCAGUAGUAUUUCAAAUCUGAUGUUAUUUGUGAAAAAAUGCACUUUUUUUCCAAGACCAAUGGAUCAGUAAAUGAGUGAGAAGCUG